This is a long non-coding RNA of Hibiscus syriacus, 153 nucleotides long. RefSeq lists it as uncharacterized. The transcript is spliced from 3 exons. Lineage: Eukaryota; Viridiplantae; Streptophyta; Magnoliopsida; Malvales; Malvaceae. The record is from RefSeq and is a predicted model, not a curated record.
AUCUGUUGACUCGAAAAGAUGGCGGGUGCUUGAGGUUAUGCAUGAGCAUAAUCACUUAUUAGGUGCCAAAAUUUAUAAAUCUGUUAAGAAGAUGGGCUCCGGAGCGAAAAGUAAGUUGCAAUCGAGUUCUGAUGCUGAAGUGCGAACCGUCAA